GUUUUAAUAGUUUAAAUAAAACAUAAAUUUUGUAAAUUUAAAAUAAGAAUUUUCUUUUAAAACU
This 64-nucleotide transfer RNA is filed under the name Nothancyla verreauxi. Its description in RNAcentral is "tRNA-Thr". The record is from RNAcentral. Lineage: Eukaryota; Metazoa; Arthropoda; Insecta; Neuroptera; Chrysopidae.